RNAcentral lists this ribosomal RNA (405 nucleotides) under Triticum aestivum (bread wheat). Its description in RNAcentral is "partial small subunit ribosomal RNA". The record is from RNAcentral. Lineage: Eukaryota; Viridiplantae; Streptophyta; Magnoliopsida; Poales; Poaceae.
AUGGUGGGGAGACGAAUCAAACUGGGUGCUGGUGACCUUACCAGGGUGUGGAAAGACCCUAUAAAUGGGCUUCCUCCGCUCAAUUUGAUAUUCCCACAACUAUUUGAAAUAUGUACAGAUCACGACUGCACAGGGAAGAGAUUUGGCAGUGUUGUAAUGUCAACCUUUUUUAGGCGUCGUCCUUGCCCUGGUUUGAAGGAGCAAUGGGACAAGAUGCGUGAGCAAGUCGCAGGGCUUAAUAUCUCUACUGAUAGAGAUACAGUUUAUUGGGGGCUUAGUAAGAAUGCUAGGUACUUUACUAAAUCUAUGUAUAAGUGGCUGGAAAAACCUCUCAGUGGUUGCAACUAUAAGUGGAUCUGGGAAGCAAAGCUUCCACUUAAAAUUCAGGUAUUCUUGUGGCAAAUG